Molecule: RNase P RNA, 331 nt
Filed under: Pseudomonadota bacterium
Lineage: Bacteria; Pseudomonadati; Pseudomonadota
Also listed under: 1 other name
Description: RNase P RNA component class A
Rfam family: Bacterial RNase P class A
About the family: Ribonuclease P (RNase P) is a ubiquitous endoribonuclease, found in archaea, bacteria and eukarya as well as chloroplasts and mitochondria. Its best characterised activity is the generation of mature 5'-ends of tRNAs by cleaving the 5'-leader elements of precursor-tRNAs.
Source: RNAcentral
GCAGGUAGAAUGUGGCUGCCUCGGUGUGCUGCUGGGGAGGAAAGUCCGGGCUCCGGAGGACAGCGUAACGGGUAACUCCCGUCUGGUCUAACUUUAACCUAGACCAAGGAUUAGAGCCACAGAGACGAGUAGAGGCAUAUGCCUUGAAGUGAAACGCGGCAAUCUCUACGCGGAGCAAGGCUGAAUAGGAGAUGAGCGCUAGUCCUGGCGCGUUAUUUAAUCUCGGGUAAGCUGCUUGAGUCCUGGUGGUAACAUCGGGAUCGAGAGGAAUAGCCACUUUAGAUGCGGAAAGUCGUAUCGAGACAGAACCCGGCUUAUUCUACCUGCUUAU